CUAACUCUUACCAGCACUACCCCUUUCAUGGUGGGUCCUGCAUUAACUGUGACAAGAUCCCUAGUGGUCUACUCUAACUUCAGAGGAGCUGAAGGAUUCCCCAGUCACAUUCCACUUCUGAAGGGCCAUGAGAACCCAUGGAAAUUCCUGUAAUAAGAGUGGCAGAGACUAUUCCUGAUCCUAAAAUUAGCAGUUGCAAAAUAAAAACUGAUGAUUCUCUGAAAGAGAUGUUUGACCAACCGUAUUAGUCUUGGGCAAGCUGAAAUAGCUGGUGGCCGCUCCAUUCUUCCUGUAUGCUGGAAAUCCUCCCCAAAGACUGAGGAUUAAACCCUCGUGGACAUAAGCCCUGGCCCCGGCUGAUGGGAAGCCCAGUCCCAGCUGGGAGCAUGCUCAGGAUUCACUGAUGCUGAGGAAGCAGAAAAGUGGACCAUAUGUGCAACACAGGAUCCUCUACUGGGGAAAGAUGAGAACUUCCUUGAAGAGGAAAGUAAGUUAGUUAUUGGCGGUCAAGUGAUAUUGGAAAAGGCAAGCCACAACUUUGUGAGCUGGGUCUUCUUUCACUCUGGCCCAGGACCUGGGCUGGAUGAAUUCCCUACAUAUGACACUUCUGGCAGCCCACCGGCCUCAACAGUAAACAGAGUAGUGGCAGGCCAUGACCGGCAUUAUCCACGGAGGGCAAUCUCCUGCAUCCAAUUCAUUUUUUGCUGCAGUUUAAGUCCUCCUGGGAGCUGAUGGGUGAUCGGUAGGAGGUCUCAUGGUGGCAAGUUUUCGGAAAGUAUCUUUGUAGCACGUGUUAAGAGUUUUCAAAAGAAACCCCCUGUGCUACCUCUGUCUGUCUUCAGCUGGUUCCUCCGGAGUGAACCCAUCCACCCAG
Lagenorhynchus albirostris (white-beaked dolphin) is the source of this 874-nucleotide long non-coding RNA. RefSeq lists it as uncharacterized. The record is from RefSeq and is a predicted model, not a curated record. The transcript is spliced from 4 exons. Lineage: Eukaryota; Metazoa; Chordata; Mammalia; Artiodactyla; Delphinidae.